This 1215-nucleotide long non-coding RNA is filed under the name Homo sapiens (human). Its description in RNAcentral is "HSALNT0033907". Lineage: Eukaryota; Metazoa; Chordata; Mammalia; Primates; Hominidae. The record is from RNAcentral.
CGGGAGAGAGUUGCAGGGAUUCCUGGAUUCCCUACACCAGUCAGAUCAUGGGGCAGCAGCAAGGUGCCAUCCAACCUUAGUAUUGGAGAGUGGGGGUGGGUAAUCAGUAGAGAAAGAGAGAGACAGAGAGAGGGCAUGCUUAGCUUAUUCCAGAUCCCUACUUCCCAGCUGGCCCCAGGUCCUGGCUGCUCCUCAGCCAGCUCCUGGGGCAGUUUUGUAGAAGAGAAUGUGGACUUGUGCUCAGCAACCACCAGGAUUCAGUCAUACAUAGCACUGGAUGGAGAUGGAGGCUUGAACAGUUUUGAAUAGUUUUCUCCGAGGGCUCAGCUGCCACCUCCUUUUCCUACAAGGUCAGCAUGACCCCCAGACGAGAACCUUCCUCAGCCCCCUGCCCUGUAGUUCCCAUAAAGAAUAAGUGAUUUCCUUUCUUUUUCCAGGGUGAAUGCUUUCCUCAUUCCUUGGCUCUUGGCUGUAUCACUGCAAUUCUGCUCUCAUUGUCAGGCUGCCUUCUCCUAUUUUCUCCUCUCUGUCUCCAUCAGUCCAAGCUGGCAGUAUUUCUGCUGGAAUAACAGCCUCAAGCACCCUGCUUUGGUGACCCAGCCUGGGCCUUCCUCCCCUCCUGUCAGACCCGCAGCUUGGACUCACUGCCCUCGACUGCCUACUUUGGAUAACAGGCCUUUACUUUGGCCUUGUGCUUCCCCCCUGGCCUGGCGGCCCCUCUUUUCAAAUGAGGCUGAGCCAUGUUCCCAAGGCUAGCACUAGGGACAAGGAGAAAUGGUGCUAGCACAGGCCUGCCCCAGAGCCCCUGGAGGCAGGGCCAAGAUUCUAGACCUGGGCCACACUGCCCAUAGGCAAGUCGGCUCUUUGCAGGCAAAGGCAGGAUCAGGAAACUGGACUAUUAGUCUUUACAACAGCUCUAUGGGGUGGGCAUUGCCAUCACUGGUUUAUGGAUGAGGAACCUGAGGCUCAGAGAGGAACAGAGGGUGACCUGAGGUCACAUAGCCAAUAACAGACAGAGCUUGGACUGAAAACCUGGUGUUGCUGCCUGCCCCUCAGCCUCCUUCACUGUAGAAGUAUAAAGAGCCUUGUUGAGAGACUACUGCCUCCAGCCCCAGGACCACCCUAAGACCUGGGCAAGAAGGACCUCAUGCCUUGUAGCACUCGCCUUGAAAUCUUCUAGGUUUCUAUCUGUAGCUGGAACUGACCAGGACUGGC